AGAACGAACGCUGGCGGCAGGCCUAACACAUGCAAGUCGAGCGCGCAGCAAUGCGAGCGGCAGACGGGUGAGUAACGCGUGGGAACCUUCCCAAUAGUACGGAAUAGCCCAGGGAAACUUGGAGUAAUACCGUAUACGCCCGCAAGGGGAAAGAUUUAUCGCUAUUGGAUGGGCCCGCGUAGGAUUAGCUAGUUGGUGAGGUAAUGGCUCACCAAGGCGACGAUCCUUAGCUGGUUUGAGAGAAUGACCAGCCACACUGGGACUGAGACACGGCCCAGACUCCUACGGGAGGCAGCAGUGGGGAAUCUUGGACAAUGGGCGCAAGCCUGAUCCAGCCAUGCCGCGUGAGUGACGAAGGUCUUCGGAUUGUAAAGCUCUUUUGCCAGGGACGAUAAUGACGGUACCUGGAGAAUAAGCCCCGGCUAACUUCGUGCCAGCAGCCGC
This 444-nucleotide ribosomal RNA is filed under the name uncultured soil bacterium. RNAcentral's name for it is "bacterial SSU rRNA". It matches the Rfam family "Bacterial small subunit ribosomal RNA", at positions 26 to 518 of the family's 1533-position model. The record is from RNAcentral.